Molecule: long non-coding RNA, 488 nt
Organism: Oncorhynchus tshawytscha (Chinook salmon)
Lineage: Eukaryota; Metazoa; Chordata; Actinopteri; Salmoniformes; Salmonidae
Source: Ensembl
AUAUAUCUGCCUCACUCUCAGUGAAAUCAGUAGUACUGCUAGGUUUUACACAGUAAUAAUAUAUAUCUGCCUCACUCUCAGAGAAAUCAGUAGUACUGCUAGGUUUUACACAGUAAUAAUAUAUAUCUGCCUCACUCUCAGAGGAAUCAGUAGUACUGCUAGGUUUUACACAGUAAUAAUAUAUAUCUGUCUCACUCUCAGAGGAAUCAGUAGUACUGCUAGGUUUUACACAGUAAUAAUAUAUAUCUGCCUCACUCUCAGAGAAAUCAGUAGUACUGCUAGGUUUUACACAGUAAUAAUAUAUAUCUGCCUCACUCUCAGAGGAAUCAGUAGUACUGCUAGGUUUAAUACAGUAAUAAUAUAUAUCUGCCUCACUCUCAGAGGAAUCAGUAGUACUGCUAGGUUUUACACAGUAAUAAUAUAUAUCUGCCUCACUCUCAGAGGAAUCAGUAGUACUGCUAGGUUUUACACAGUAAUAAUAUAUAUCU